UCGCUCUCAAAUCAGGUGAGACUACCCGCUGAACUUAAGCAUAUCACUAAGCGGAGGAAAAGAAACUAACCAGGAUUCCCCCAGUAACGGCGAGUGAACAGGGAAGAGCUCAAGCCUAAAAUCCUUCGGGAAUUGUAGUCUAUAGAGAUGAGCUUGUACACCUCGGGUAGAAAUCCGUUCUUGGAACUGGGUGCCAGAGAGGGUUAGAGCCCCGUCUUUGACUCGGUCAGGUGUGCGUGAUAAGCUUAGCUCGGUGAGUCGGCUUGCUUGGGAAUGCAGGCCAAAGUGGGUGGUAAACUCCAUCUAAAGCUAAAUAUUGGCGAGAGACCGAUAGCGAACAAGUACUGUGAAGGAAAGAUGGAAAGAACUUUGAAAAGAGAGUGAAAAAGGGCUUGAAAUUGUUGAGAGGAGAAGUGAUUGGAGCCUAUCCUGCGUACUGGAUCCUGGGGUGGAAGCUUGCAACCAUCCUUACCAUGCAGUGGCGCUGGCCAGCAUCGGUUCUCUGUGGGGGACAAGGCUUUGAGGGUCUUCGGAGCUCUUAGCGCAUGACCUGCGGGGGACCGAGGCACAAAGAGCACGCCUAGCGGCCGGCCCAUUCUACGCGCUUGUCGCCUGUGUUACACGCAAGUGUGCCGCUUACGACGGAGUUGCGAUGGAGUGGAGCGCUGGACCUGUGCUCUUAAGAUGUUGGCACAAUGGCUUCAACCAGCCCGUCUUGAAACACGGACCAAGGAGUCUAACACGUAUGCGAGUAGUAAGGUGGCAAACCUUGGAUGCGAAAUGAAAGUGAAAUUGGUGGGAUCCCUCACGGGUGCACCAUCGACCGGCCAGGAACUACUGUGAUUGGUUUGAGUAAGAGCAUAUUUGUUGGGACCCGAAAGAUGGUGAACUAUGCCUGAAUAGGGUGAAGCCAGAGGAAACUCUGGUGGAGGCUCGUAGCGGUACUGACGUGCAAAUCGUUCGUCAAAUUUGGGUAUAGGGGCGAAAGACUAAUCGAACCAUCUAGUAGCUGGUUCCCUCCGAAGUUUCCCUCAGGAUAGCUGGAG
RNAcentral lists this ribosomal RNA (1046 nucleotides) under Cryptomonas sp. SAG 977-2f. RNAcentral describes it as "eukaryotic LSU rRNA". It matches the Rfam family "Eukaryotic large subunit ribosomal RNA", at positions 1 to 987 of the family's 3401-position model. The record is from RNAcentral. Lineage: Eukaryota; Cryptophyceae; Cryptomonadales; Cryptomonadaceae.